UACGUAGGCGGAUUGGAAAGUAUGGGGUGAAAUCCCAGGGCUCAACCCUGGAACUGCCUCAUAAACUACCAGUCUAGAGUUCGAGAGAGGUGAGUGGAAUUCCGAGUGUAGAGGUGAAAUUCGUAGAUAUUCGGAGGAACACCAGUGGCGAAGGCGGCUCACUGGCUCGAUACUGACGCUGAGGUACGAAAGUGUGGGGAGCAAACAGGAUUAGAUACCCUGGUAGUCC
This 229-nucleotide ribosomal RNA is filed under the name uncultured bacterium. RNAcentral describes it as "partial 16S ribosomal RNA". It matches the Rfam family "Bacterial small subunit ribosomal RNA", at positions 568 to 796 of the family's 1533-position model. The record is from RNAcentral.